This 200-nucleotide unclassified non-coding RNA is filed under the name soil metagenome. RNAcentral's name for it is "partial contains internal transcribed spacer 2 and large subunit ribosomal RNA". The record is from RNAcentral.
GCGGCUGGCUCCUCUCAAAUGAAUCAGCUUGCCAGUGUUUGGCGGCAUCUCACGGGUGUGAUAACUAUCUACGCUCGCGGUUGUCUGCCAGGUAACCCUCAGCGAUGAAGGUUCAUUGGGGCUCAUAAACGUCUCUCCUCGGCGAGGACAACCUUUGAAAGUUCGAUCUCAAAUCAGGUAGGAAUACCCGCUGAACUUAA